RNAcentral lists this ribosomal RNA (253 nucleotides) under uncultured bacterium. Its description in RNAcentral is "partial 16S ribosomal RNA". It matches the Rfam family "Bacterial small subunit ribosomal RNA", at positions 524 to 776 of the family's 1533-position model. The record is from RNAcentral.
UACGUAGGGUGCGAGCGUUGUCCGGAAUUAUUGGGCGUAAAGGGCUCGUAGGCGGUUUGUCGCGUCGGGAGUGAAAACCCAGGGCUCAACCCUGGGCCUGCAUUCGAUACGGGCAGACUAGAGUUCGGUAGGGGAGACUGGAAUUCCUGGUGUAGCGGUGAAAUGCGCAGAUAUCAGGAGGAACACCGGUGGCGAAGGCGGGUCUCUGGGCCGAAACUGACGCUGAGGAGCGAAAGCGUGGGGAGCAAACAGG